AAGUUACAAAAAUGCUUAUUUUUGGCCCCUUUUUGGCCCCUAAUUCCUUAACUGUUGGUACCAUAACCCCCAAAAUCAAUCCCCACCUUCCUUUUGUGGUAUUGAACCUUAUGGUAAAAUUUCAUGGAGAUCCAUUCACUUAAACUAAAGUUAGAGUGCGAAAACCAAUGCGUCUUCGGACGACGCCGGACGACGCCAGACGACGACGACGACGACGACGACGACAACGACGACGACGACGACGACGACGCCAACGUCAUACCAAUAUACGACCAAAAAAUUUCAAUUUUUGCGGUCGUAUAAAAACAGCAAAAUCACCUUAAAAUUACCAAUUCAGGGGCAGCAACCCAACAACGGGUUGUCCGAAUCAUCUGAAAAUUUCAGGGCAGAUAGAUCUUGACCUGAUAAACAAUUUUACUUCAUGUCAGAUUUGCUUUAAAUGCUUUGGUUUUUGAGUUAAAAGCCAAAAACUGAAUUUUACCCCUAUGUUCUAUUUUUAGCCGUGGCGGCCAUCUUGGUUGGUUGACCAGGUCACGCCACACAUUUUUAAAACUAGAUAACCAAAUGAUGAUUGUGGCCAAGUUUGGUUUAAUUUGGCCACGGAGUUUCAGAGGAGAAGAUUUUUGUAAAAGAUUACUAAGAUUUACGAAAAAUUGUUAAAAAUUGACUAUAAAGGGCAAUAACUCCUAAAGGGGUCAACUGACCAUUUCAGUCAUGUUGACUUAUUUAUUAAUCUAACUUUGCUGAACAUUAUUGCUGUUUACAGUUUAUCUCUAUCUAUAAUAAUAUUCAAGAUAAUAACCAAUAAAAUGCUUCGCUGGGGCGCAGCUUGAUACGACCGCAGAGGUCGAACCCUGAACAGUUGGGGCAAGUAUGGACACAACAUUCAAGCUUGAUACAGCUCUGAAUUUGGAUUGUGAUUAAAUAUUUGACACAGCAUAGGUUUCUGACACAGAAAGAAUGUGGUCUAAGAACUUCAAUUUUUUUAAUUUACCUAUUAUGGUCCAAUGUCCAAAAUCAAAAUACAUGGUUAGAUUCAGCAUAUCAAAGAACCCCAUAUAUUCAAUUUUUGUUGAAAUCAAACAAAGUUUAAUUUUGGACCCCAACUUGGACAAACUUGAAAACUGGUCCCAUAAUCAAAAAUCUAAACACAUGUUUAGAUUCAGCAUAUCAAAGUACCCGAAGAAUUCAAUUUUUGUUAAAAUCAAACUAAGUUUAAUUUUGGACCCUUUGGACCUUAAUGUAGACAAAUUUAAAAAACGGGUACCUUAAUUAAAAAUCUAAAAACACAGUUAGAUUUGGCAUAUCAAAGAACCCCAAUAAUUCAAUUUUUGAUGAAAUCAAACAAAGUUUAAUUUUGGACCCUUUUGACCUCAAUAUGAACCAAUUUGAUAGCGGGCCCACAAAUAAAAAAUCUAAAUACAUGGUAAGAUUCAGCAUAUCAAAGAACCCCAUAUAUUCAAUUUUUGUUGAAAUCAAACAAAGUUUAAUUUUGGACCCCAAUUUGGACCAACUUGAAAACUGGGCCAAAAAUCUAAAAUCUAAAUACAUGUUUAGAUUCAGCAUAUCAAAGAACCCCAUAUAUUCAAUUUUUGUUGAAAUCAAACAAAGUUUAAUUUUGGACCCCAACUUGGACCAACUUGAAAACUGGGCCCAUAAUCAAAAAUCUAAACACAUGUUUAGAUUCAGCAUAUCAAAGAACCCUAAGAAUUCAAUUUUUGUUAAAAUCAAACUAAGUUUAAUUUUGGACCCUUUGGACCUUAAUGUAGACAAAUUUAAAAAACGGGACCCAAAAUUAAAAAUCUAAAUACACGGUUAGAUUCGGCAUAUCAAAGAACCCCAAUAAUUUAAUUUUUGAUGAAAUCAAACAAAGUUUAAUUUUGGACCCUUUGGACCUCAAUGUGGACCAAUUUAAAAACGGGGCCCAAAAUCCAAAAACUUAAUACACGGUUAGAUUCAGCAUAUUAAAGAACCCCAAGAAUUCAAGAAUAAAACCCCAUUGAAAUUGAUCAAGAAAUAAGCAAUUUAUACGAAGUAUCUUCUUUUGCACAAUACUGUGCAAUUGAAUAUUUCUUGCUAUUGCGCAAUACUGUACAAUUGACAAUUUCUUGCUAUUGCGCAAUAUUGUGCUACUGGAUAUUUCUUGCUAUUGCGCAAUACUGUUAAAUUGAAGAUUUCUUGCUAUUGCGCAAUACUGUGCAAUUGAAGAUUUCUUGCUAUUGUGCAAUACUGCGCAAUUGAAAAUUUCUUGCUAUUGCACAAUACUUAUUAUAUAAUAAUUUACACAUCCUGUUUGGUGUGUAUCUCCUACCAUAUCAUUAUUAUUUGCUUUUAAAUAUAAAUCAGAAAUAACCAACUUAAAAUGGAAAAUUUUAAAAGAAAAAAAAAAGGAAAAAAAGAAAAAAAAAGAAAAAAAAAAAAUUCCCCCCCCCAAAUGUUUUGAACC
This is a long non-coding RNA of Mytilus californianus (California mussel), 2446 nucleotides long. RefSeq lists it as uncharacterized. Lineage: Eukaryota; Metazoa; Mollusca; Bivalvia; Mytilida; Mytilidae. The transcript has 3 exons. The record is from RefSeq and is a predicted model, not a curated record.